RNAcentral lists this non-coding RNA (123 nucleotides) under Burkholderia sp. 8Y. The record is from RNAcentral. Lineage: Bacteria; Pseudomonadati; Pseudomonadota; Betaproteobacteria; Burkholderiales; Burkholderiaceae.
AUAGAAUGGCAAGCUUGCAGUGCGAGGAAGCCGGUGCAAACCCGGCACGGUCGCGCCACUGUGAGCGGUUUUGUCGUGAAGACAGUCCGCGAGUCAGACCCCGCUGCAAGCUCUUCGUCUAUC